This 404-nucleotide ribosomal RNA is filed under the name uncultured bacterium. RNAcentral describes it as "bacterial SSU rRNA". It matches the Rfam family "Bacterial small subunit ribosomal RNA", at positions 355 to 776 of the family's 1533-position model. The record is from RNAcentral.
UGGGGAAUCUUGCACAAUGGGGGAAACCCUGAUGCAGCGACGCCGCGUGAGCGAUGAAGCCCUUCGGGGUGUAAAGCUCUUUCGGCAGGAACGAUAAUGACGGUACCUGCAGAAGAAGCUGCGGCUAACUACGUGCCAGCAGCCGCGGUAAUACGUAGGCAGCAAGCGUUGUUCGGAGUUACUGGGCGUAAAGAGUGCGUAGGUGGUUUUCUAAGUUCGGUGUGAAAUCUCCCGGCUCAACGGGGAGGGUGCGCCGAAAACUGGAAGACUUGAGUGCGGGAGAGGAGAGCGGAAUUCCUGGUGUAGCGGUGAAAUGCGUAGAUAUCAGGAGGAACACCUGUGGUGCAGACGGCUCUCUGGACCGCCACUGACACUGAGGCACGAAAGCGUGGGGAGCAAACAGG